Molecule: ribosomal RNA, 481 nt
Filed under: uncultured bacterium
Lineage: Bacteria
Description: partial 16S ribosomal RNA
Rfam family: Bacterial small subunit ribosomal RNA
Source: RNAcentral
GAUGAACGCUGGCGGCGUGCUUAACACAUGCAAGUCGAACGAAGCACUUUAUUUGAUUUCCUUCGGGACUGAUUAUUUUGUGACUGAGUGGCGGACGGGUGAGUAACUCGUGGGUAACCUGCCUUGUACAGGGGGAUAACAGUUGGAAACGGCUGCUAAUACCGCAUAAGCGCCCAGCAUCGCAUGAUGCAGUGUGAAAAAAUCCGGUGGUAUAAGAUGGACCCGCGUUGGAUUAGCUAGUUGGUGAGGUAACGGCCCACCAAGGCGACGAUCCAUAGCCGACCUGAGAGGGUGACCGGCCACAUUGGGACUGAGACACGGCCCAAACUCCUACGGGAGGCAGCAGUGGGGAAUAUUGCACAAUGGGCGAAAGCCUGAUGCAGCGACGCCGCGUGAGCGAAGAAGUAUUUCGGUAUGUAAAGCUCUAUCAGCAGGGAAGAUAAUAACGGUACCUGACUAAGAAGCACCGGCUAAAUACGUG